Molecule: microRNA precursor, 204 nt
Organism: Oryza sativa Indica Group (long-grained rice)
Lineage: Eukaryota; Viridiplantae; Streptophyta; Magnoliopsida; Poales; Poaceae
Rfam family: MIR812 microRNA precursor family
Source: Rfam
AAAAAAACAAAUUCUAAGUUUCCGUGUCCAACAUUUGACUAUCCAUCUUAUGUUAAUCUUUUUAUAAUUAGUAUUUUAAUUGUUAUUAGAUGAUAAACAUAAUAAUAUUUUAUGCGUGACUUAUCUUUUGAUUUUUUUUAAUGAUUUUUUCAAAUAAAACGGACGGUCAAACGUUGUACAUGGAAAUUAAAGGUUUGUCUUUUU